RNAcentral lists this ribosomal RNA (435 nucleotides) under uncultured bacterium. RNAcentral's name for it is "partial 16S ribosomal RNA". It matches the Rfam family "Bacterial small subunit ribosomal RNA", at positions 29 to 507 of the family's 1533-position model. The record is from RNAcentral.
AGCGAACGCUGGCGGCAGGCUUAACACAUGCAAGUCGAACGGGCUUCUUCGGAAGUCAGUGGCAGACGGGUGAGUAACACGUGGGAACGUGCCCUUCGGUUCGGAAUAACUCAGGGAAACUUGAGCUAAUACCGGAUACGCCCUUUUGGGGAAAGGUUGACUGCCGAAGGAUCGGCCCGCGUCUGAUUAGCUUGUUGGUGGGGUAACGGCCUACCAAGGCGACGGUCAGUAGCUGGUCUGAGAGGAUGAUCAGCCACACUGGGACUGAGACACGGCCCAGACUCCUACGGGAGGCAGCAGUGGGGAAUAUUGGACAAGGGGCGCAAGCCUGAUCCAGCCAUGCCGCGUGAGUGAUGAAGGCCUUAGGGUUGUAAAGCUCUUUUGUCCGGGACGAUAAUGACGGUACCGGAAGAAUAAGCCCCGGCUAACUUCGUG